This 1791-nucleotide long non-coding RNA is filed under the name Daucus carota (carrot). Its description in RNAcentral is "long non-coding RNA (DCAR_LNC000668)". The record is from RNAcentral. Lineage: Eukaryota; Viridiplantae; Streptophyta; Magnoliopsida; Apiales; Apiaceae.
GACAGAAGAAAGAAGAAGAUAACUCCCCCUCUCCAUUAUUUUUCAUAAUAUCCAAACUGUUACAAUUACAAACCCUUCAAGACCAGAGAGAGAGAGAGGAAGAGAGAGAGAGUUGUUUCCUCAUCUCAUCUACAAAAACACACACAAAUUCCCUAGAUAAACACACACACAAAACCUGCAUAUGCAAAAUUUGACGUUUUGUGUUUAGCUAAUAACUGAUCCGAACAACGAACCACCGCCAAUCAAGAAAGAAGGUACCGAGCGACCAAAGAAAACAAGGUGAUGUAAUAUUUAAAAGAGUUUGAUGGAUCAAAAGAUGAUUUUGCUCGUGACAAUUUAUGGAUUUUAUUUUCGGAUUCGGUAUGUUUAUUCUCUCAAUUUUAUAGUUUUUCAAAAUAUCUCUGUCUCUUUGAAAAGGUACACUUCUUUCAUCUUCUUUUGAUUAUAUUGUUAUGAUCCAAAAUAAAUGCUUGUUAUGUGAAGCUUGUUCUUUUUGUUUUGUAUAUCUUAUGAAUUACGAUAACAUAUCUACAUCAUAGAAAUCAUUUUAUGCUUUUCCUCUUCUAAUUUUAAGGUUGUAUAGAAUUUUGAGUUGAUUGAAAUCAUGGAUUCGUAUCUGUUUUAGAAUUUUGUUUGAUUAGUUUUGUAGAUCAAGUCGAGUUAUGUAUCCAUUUUUUCCCCGUUUUUCUGACAUGUUUUAUCUUAGCCGGAUUUGUGAUGGUUGACCGGAAUAUCGAUUUGAAAUUAGGUCUGUUACAGAUUCUCGAUAUAAAUUUUCGAUAGGUGUUCUUGAUUGUAUGUGUUUGUUAAGUGUGUGAUUUGAUCUUCUAGAUUAAUCUUUUUAGUUUUUUAACAUGUUUUUAGGUGCAUGUAAUAUUGUUGAGUGUUUCGAUAUCAAUUUAUUUUGAAUUAUGGCGUUGCUUUUAUAUAUUAUAUUUGUUUGUAUAUUUAUGUGCAAAUUUUUUAAAAUGCAAGUAUUCAAUUUUUUCGGUUAAUUUUGGAAAGGAAUAUAUCUUGAUAAAUAUUCUUUAUGAAUAUUUAAUAACAUUUAUGAUGGUCUUUAUUUAUCUUCUUAAGGUUUAAAUUUUAAAUUUUAUGAAUUCAUAAUUUAUCAUGAUUGUUUGAUUUUUAGGCAAUAAUUUAAUUUUAAUUAGUGUGUGGUUGCCCCUGCGGGGCCAUUGGAUUAGAUUGAUCCAAGGGCUUAUAUUGAGUUUGUAGUUUGUACACUAACUUAGUUUGUAUUUGAGCACUUCCCGGUCUUACUCUGGUACAAACCUUCUUAGCGUACAAACUACAAACCAAAAUUAAAAUGUCUCUAAAUCAAAUCGGAAUAUAGCACAUAUUGUAUGGAAAUUAAUCGUUGCGAGAUGAACAAAAAUACAGUGAAAUCGGAUUUCAAAAAAAGUUCACCGAUUGAUGGGAAAAUUCAAAUUAAAAACGGAGGGGAUUCUGUGGAUCAUGUGUGGCAGGGUGCAUAUUAACUGGUGUGUGGUUGCCCCUGCGGGGCCAUUGGAUUAGAUUCAUCCAAAGGCUUAUAUUAAGUUUGUAGUUUGUACACUAACUUAGUUUGUAUUUGAGCACUUCCCUAUAUAUAUAUAUUUCCUCUCUAUUUUUUUAUAUAUAAACUCUUUUGUUUUUGUUUUUAUUAGAUUUUCUUGUAUAUUAAUUUAUAUUUUGUUUGAUUGUUUUUUCUCAGGAUACUAUGGAAGCGAGCUGUAUGGGUAUUCUUUUCUCAUUCAUUUAAGCUUUAUUGUCUAAACGUCCGGAGUUAUGCUUGCAUGGCUUUCGGUU